CCCGUGGCAUAUAGCUCAGUAACACGUGGCCAAACUACCCUACAGACCGCGAUAACCUCGGGAAACUGAGGCCAAUAGCGGAUAUAACUCUCAUGCUGGAGUGCCGAGAGUUAGAAACGUUCCGGCGCUGUAGGAUGUGGCUGCGGCCGAUUAGGUAGAUGGUGGGGUAACGGCCCACCAUGCCGAUAAUCGGUACGGGUUGUGAGAGCAAGAACCCGGAGACGGUAUCUGAGACAAGAUACCGGGCCCUACGGGGCGCAGCAGGCGCGAAACCUUUACACUGCACGACAGUGCGAUAGGGGGACUCCGAGUGUGAGGGCAUAUAGCCCUCGCUUUUCUGUACCGUAAGGUGGUACAGGAACAAGGACUGGGCAAGACCGGUGCCAGCCGCCGCGGUAAUACCGGCAGUCCAAGUGAUGGCCGAUAUUAUUGGGCCUAAAGCGUCCGUAGCCGGCCGGACAAGUCCGUUGGGAAAUCGACGCGCUCAACGCGUCGGCGUCCAGCGGAAACUGUCCGGCUUGGGGCCGGAAGACCUGAGGGGUACGUCCGGGGUAGGAGUGAAAUCCUGUAAUCCUGGACGGACCACCAAUGGGGAAACCACCUCAGGAAGACGGACCCGACGGUGAGGGACGAAAGCUAGGGUCUCGAACCGGAUUAGAUACCCGGGUAGUCCUAGCUGUAAACGAUGCUCGCUAGGUGUGCCGUACGCUACGAGCCUGCGCUGCGCCCUAGGGAAGCCGAGAAGCGAGCCGCCUGGGAAGUACGUCUGCAAGGAUGAAACUUAAAGGAAUUGGCGGGGGAGCACCACAACCGGAGGAGCCUGCGGU
Molecule: ribosomal RNA, 827 nt
Filed under: Haloarcula marismortui
Lineage: Archaea; Methanobacteriati; Methanobacteriota; Halobacteria; Halobacteriales; Haloarculaceae
Description: bacterial SSU rRNA
Rfam family: Archaeal small subunit ribosomal RNA
Source: RNAcentral